Molecule: long non-coding RNA, 600 nt
Filed under: Penaeus japonicus
Lineage: Eukaryota; Metazoa; Arthropoda; Malacostraca; Decapoda; Penaeidae
Description: uncharacterized LOC122245174
Source: RNAcentral
CACGUACAUCCAAGUGAAGUGAUCAUGUGGUCACGUUGUAGUGGAUGCUAAGAAAGAUGUACAGGUGAAAGAACAUUGUUAUCCCAUGACAACAUAAUUAGUAUACUGCAUGAUGAUGCUCGGUGUUGGAUGGUGGUAGGCCUACUUGGCAUUGAGUCUACACUUUCUAUGGAAAAAUAUCUGCAGAACAUGGACAAGAUGAUGGACUCGCCAUUCAGAGGAAAAAUGAGGAACAAGAACCUGCAAAGAGACGGAGUAUGCAGCUGGAGGCUUCUGAUUGUCACUGCGUUGUAAACAAAUCCACUUUUCUCAAAUAAACCCCGUCAAGAAAUGGCACUAGCACUAGGAAAGGAAGAGGAAGAUGAUUGGCAGAGUGAUAGUGGUGAUGAUGAGGAAGAGGAGGAACAUCAGAGUGAUAGCUAUGAGGAUUAUGGCCUGUACCCAAUGGAGUCUGCACAAGAUAUUGUACAGCGGACUGGAGGAAGAAAGAAGAAACAAGCACCAAAGGAAUAAUUAAAGAUUAUGAAAGAAUAAGAAUGCUUAUAAUUUUACAUCAACUGUGUAUACCUCAGAAUACCUCACGUUUAAUUUAGUUACCCC